GAGUGACAGGAGCUCUUUUAAGCUUGGCAAGCCACGCCGUUGCAUCCACUUGCCUGAAUGUGGCGUUUAUAAAGGACUUAGAACAUUUUGGGACGUACACAGAAGGUGGCCAUUUUGGCCUUAAACACAAUGUCCCCUUUUUUAUAUUUCGAUCUCCCUUUAAACAAAGAACCUGGGGAGAAGCCAAAAUCAUUACUUGUAAUGUGUCACCGACCAUAGGCAUGAACUGUGAACAAAGCAAAAGCAGCACUGUGACCGAAAACAGAAUAUUUUGGCAAGUAAUAGCGUCUGUUGUCUAAGAACGAUUCAAUUAUUGAGUUAACAAAUAAUUGAACAAUCUAAGUGAAAUGUCAAAUACAUAAAACAGAAGUAAUAAGAACAAUAGGUAUUAAUUGCAGAGGAUAGGUCAUAAAUCAUAUAAUAACUGCAUAGAAUAAGAAAAAAGAAAACACUUUUCCCAUAACACGGUGCAGUAUAAUGUGGACCUGAGCAAACAGCCCGCUCUGCUAGGGUUGAGGAGAAAUGUAAAAGCUUACAGCACCUGGUAUUCCCAGGCGGUCUCCCAUCCAAGUACUAACCAGGCCCGACCCUGCUUAGCUUCGGAGAUCAGACGAGAUCGGGCGUGCUCAGGGUGGUAUGGCCGUAAGCAAGAGCAGAGAGUGACAGGAGGACUUUUAAGCUUGGCAAGCCACGCCAUUGCAUCCACUUGCCUGAAUGUGGCGUUUAUAAAGGACUUAGAACAUUUUGGGACGUACACAGAAGGUGGCCAUUUUGGCCUUAAACACAAUAUCCCCUUUUUUGUAUUUCGCUCUCCCUUUAAACAAAACAACUAGAGAGAAGCCAAAAUCAUUACUUGUAAUGUGUCACCAACCAUAGGCAUGAACUGUGAACAAAGCAAAAGCAGCACUGUGACUGAAAACACAAUAUUUUAACAGGUAAUAGCGUCUGUUGUCUAAGAACGAUGCAAUUAUUGAGUUAACAAAUAAUUGAACAAUUUAGGUGAAAUGUCAAAUACAUAAAAUACAAGAAAUAAAAAACACAAGAUAAUAAUUGCA
Molecule: long non-coding RNA, 1055 nt
Filed under: Betta splendens (Siamese fighting fish)
Lineage: Eukaryota; Metazoa; Chordata; Actinopteri; Anabantiformes; Osphronemidae
Description: lncRNA (ENSBSLG00000015361.1)
Source: RNAcentral